RNAcentral lists this ribosomal RNA (482 nucleotides) under uncultured bacterium. RNAcentral describes it as "partial 16S ribosomal RNA". It matches the Rfam family "Bacterial small subunit ribosomal RNA", at positions 28 to 523 of the family's 1533-position model. The record is from RNAcentral.
GAUGAACGCUGGCGGCGUGCUUAACACAUGCAAGUCGAACGGAAAGGCCUCAGCUUGCUGGGGUACUCGAGUGGCGAACGGGUGAGUAACACGUGGGUGAUCUGCCCUGCACUUUGGGAUAAGCCCGGGAAACUGGGUCUAAUACCGAAUAUGACCACUUCUUGGAUGUUGUGGUGGAAAGCUUUUGCGGUGUGGGGUGAGCCUGCGGCCUAUCAGCUUGUUGGUGGGGUAAUGGCCUACUAAGGCGGCGACGGGUAUCCGGCCUGAGAGGGUGUACGGACACAUUGGGACUGAGAUACGGCCCAGACUCCUACGGGAGGCAGCAGUGGGGAAUAUUGGACAAUGGGCGCAAGCCUGAUCCAGCAAUGCCGCGUGUGUGAAGAAGGCCUGCGGGUUGUAAAGCUCUUUCAGUGGGGAAGAAGCGAAAGUGACGGUACCUGCAGAAGAAGCGCCGGCUAACUACGUGCCAGCAGCCGCAGUAA